This 367-nucleotide ribosomal RNA is filed under the name Salmonella enterica. RNAcentral describes it as "bacterial SSU rRNA". It matches the Rfam family "Bacterial small subunit ribosomal RNA", at positions 1153 to 1519 of the family's 1533-position model. The record is from RNAcentral. RNAcentral also lists the same sequence under 2 other names. Lineage: Bacteria; Pseudomonadati; Pseudomonadota; Gammaproteobacteria; Enterobacterales; Enterobacteriaceae.
CAGUGAUAAACUGGAGGAAGGUGGGGAUGACGUCAAGUCAUCAUGGCCCUUACGACCAGGGCUACACACGUGCUACAAUGGCGCAUACAAAGAGAAGCGACCUCGCGAGAGCAAGCGGACCUCAUAAAGUGCGUCGUAGUCCGGAUUGGAGUCUGCAACUCGACUCCAUGAAGUCGGAAUCGCUAGUAAUCGUGGAUCAGAAUGCCACGGUGAAUACGUUCCCGGGCCUUGUACACACCGCCCGUCACACCAUGGGAGUGGGUUGCAAAAGAAGUAGGUAGCUUAACCUUCGGGAGGGCGCUUACCACUUUGUGAUUCAUGACUGGGGUGAAGUCGUAACAAGGUAACCGUAGGGGAACCUGCGGUU